CUAGGAAUCUUGGGAAUGGGCGCAAGCCUGACCCAGCAACGCCGCGUGGGCGAUGAAGGCCUUCGGGUCGUAAAGCCCUUUUGCAAGGGACGAUGAUGACGGUACCUUGCGAAUAAGCCACGGCUAACUACGUGCCAGCAGCCGCGGUAAUACGUAGGUGGCAAGCGUUGUCCGGAUUUACUGGGCGUAAAGGGCGUGCAGGCGGCUUGUUAAGUGCAGGGUGAAAGCUCCCGGCUCAACUGGGAGAGGUCCUUGCAUACUGGCGAGCUCGAGGGAGGCAGAGGAAAGUGGAAUUCCCGGUGUAGUGGUGAUAUGCGUAGAUAUCGGGAGGAACACCUGUGGCGAAGGCGGCUUUCUGGGCCUUACCUGACGCUGAGACGCGAGAGCGUGGGGAGCGAAC
Molecule: ribosomal RNA, 400 nt
Filed under: uncultured bacterium
Lineage: Bacteria
Description: bacterial SSU rRNA
Rfam family: Bacterial small subunit ribosomal RNA
Source: RNAcentral